Molecule: ribosomal RNA, 484 nt
Filed under: uncultured bacterium
Lineage: Bacteria
Description: partial 16S ribosomal RNA
Rfam family: Bacterial small subunit ribosomal RNA
Source: RNAcentral
AUUGAACGCUGGCGGCAGGCCUAACACAUGCAAGUCGAGCGGAUGAAGGGAGCUUGCUCCUGGAUUCAGCGGCGGACGGGUGAGUAAUGCCUAGGAAUCUGCCUGGUAGUGGGGGAUAACGUCUGGAAACGGGCGCUAAUACCGCAUACGUCCUGAGGGAGAAAGUGGGGGAUCUUCGGACCUCACGCUAUCAGAUGAGCCUAGGUCGGAUUAGCUAGUUGGUGGGGUAAAGGCCUACCAAGGCGACGAUCCGUAACUGGUCUGAGAGGAUGAUCAGUCACACUGGAAGUGAGACACGGUCCAGACUCCUACGGGAGGCAGCAGUGGGGAAUAUUGGACAAUGGGCGAAAGCCUGAUACAGCCAUGCCGCGUGUGUGAAGAAGGUCUUCGGAUUGUAAAGCACUUUAAGUUGGGAGGAAGGGCAGUAAGUUAAUACCUUGCUGUUUUGACGUUACCAACAGAAUAAGCACCGGCUAACUUCGUG